UGUAAAUUUGUUGAUGCAGCAAGGAUGAGCUC
This 32-nucleotide non-coding RNA is filed under the name Mus musculus (house mouse). Lineage: Eukaryota; Metazoa; Chordata; Mammalia; Rodentia; Muridae. The record is from RNAcentral.